RNAcentral lists this ribosomal RNA (253 nucleotides) under uncultured bacterium. RNAcentral describes it as "partial 16S ribosomal RNA". It matches the Rfam family "Bacterial small subunit ribosomal RNA", at positions 524 to 776 of the family's 1533-position model. The record is from RNAcentral.
UACGGAGGGGGCGAGCGUUAUUCGGAAUUAUUGGGCGUAAAGGGCGCGUAGGCGGCUUGGCAAGUGGAUGGUGAAAUCCCUCGGCUUAACCGAGGAACUGCCGUCCAAACUGCUUAGCUUGAGACCGGGAGAGGUGAGUGGAAUUCCCAGUGUAGCGGUGAAAUGCGUAGAUAUUGGGAGGAACACCAGUGGCGAAGGCGGCUCACUGGACCGGUACUGACGCUGAGGCGCGAAAGCGUGGGGAGCAAACGGG